This 515-nucleotide ribosomal RNA is filed under the name uncultured bacterium. RNAcentral describes it as "partial 16S ribosomal RNA". It matches the Rfam family "Bacterial small subunit ribosomal RNA", at positions 28 to 523 of the family's 1533-position model. The record is from RNAcentral.
GACGAACGCUGGCGGCGUGCCUAAUACAUGCAAGUCGAGCGGACUUUCAAGAAGCUUGCUUUUUGAAAGUUAGCGGCGGACGGGUGAGUAACACGUGGGCAACCUGCCUGUAAGACGGGGAUAACUCCGGGAAACCGGGGCUAAUACCGGAUAAUAUCUUUCUUCGCAUGAAGGAAGGUUGAAAGGCGGCGCAAGCUGCCGCUUGCAGAUGGGCCCGCGGCGCAUUAGCUAGUUGGUGAGGUAACGGCUCACCAAGGCGACGAUGCGUAGCCGACCUGAGAGGGUGAUCGGCCACACUGGGACUGAGACGCGGCCCAGACUCCUACGGGAGGCAGCAGUAGGGAAUCUUCCGCAAUGGACGAAAGUCUGACGGAGCAACGCCGCGUGAGCGAAGAAGGUCUUCGGAUCGUAAGGCUCUGUUGUCAGGGAAGAACAAGUACCGUUCGAAUAGGGCGGUACCUUGACGGUACCUGACCAGAAAGCCACGGCUAACUACGUGCCAGCCGCCGCAGUAA